AAUCUUCCGCAAUGGACGUAAGUCUGACGGAGCAACGCCGCGUGAGUGAUUAAUGUUUUCGGUUCGUAAAUCUCGGUUGUCAGGGAAGAACAAGUAUCGGAAUAACUGCCGGUACCUUGUCUGUACCUGACGAGAAAGUCACGGCUAACUCCGAUCCAGCAGCCGCGGUAAGACGUAGGUGGCAAGCUGUGUCCGGAAUUAUUGGGCGUAAAGCGGGCGCAGGCGGUCUUUUAAGUCUGAUGUGAAAGCCCCCGGCUCAACCGGGGAGGGUCAUUGGAAACUGGGAGACUUGAGUGAAGAAGAGAAGAGUGGAAUUCCACGUGUAGCGGUGAAAUGCGUAGAGAUGUGGAGGAACACCAGUGGCGAAGGCGACUCUUUGGUCUGUAACUGACGCUGAGGCGCGAAAGCGUGGGGAGCGAAC
This 421-nucleotide ribosomal RNA is filed under the name uncultured bacterium. RNAcentral's name for it is "partial 16S ribosomal RNA". It matches the Rfam family "Bacterial small subunit ribosomal RNA", at positions 360 to 773 of the family's 1533-position model. The record is from RNAcentral.